GAUGAACGCUGGCGGCGUGCCUAAUACAUGCAAGUCGAGCGAACAGACGAGGAGCUUGCUCCUCUGACGUUAGCGGCGGACGGGUGAGUAACACGUGGAUAACCUACCUAUAAGACUGGGAUAACUUCGGGAAACCGGAGCUAAUACCGGAUAAUAUAUUGAACCGCAUGGUUCAAUAGUGAAAGACGGUUUUGCUGUCACUUAUAGAUGGAUCCGCGCCGCAUUAGCUAGUUGGUAAGGUAACGGCUUACCAAGGCGACGAUGCGUAGCCGACCUGAGAGCGUGAUCGGCCACCCUGGAACUGAGACACGGUCCAGACUCCUACGGGAGGCAGCAGUAGGGAAUCUUCCGCGAUGGGCGAAAGCCUGACGGAGCAACGCCGCGUGAGUGAUGAAGGUCUUCGGAUCGUAAAACUCUGUUAUUAGGGAAGAACAAAUGUGUAAGUAACUAUGCACGUCUUGACGGUACCUAAUCAGAAAGCCACGGCUAACUACGUG
RNAcentral lists this ribosomal RNA (497 nucleotides) under uncultured bacterium. RNAcentral describes it as "partial 16S ribosomal RNA". It matches the Rfam family "Bacterial small subunit ribosomal RNA", at positions 28 to 507 of the family's 1533-position model. The record is from RNAcentral.